GAGAGAGACAUGCGCGCAUAUCAAUAAGCGGAGGAAAAGAAACUAACAAGGAUUCCCUUAGUAACGGCGAGUGAAGCGGGAAGAGCUCAAAUUUGAAAUCUUCAAGGUUUUACCUUGACGAAUUGUAGUUUAAAGAAGUGUUUUCUGCUGAAGUUUUGGUAAAAGUUCUUUGGAAUAGGACAUCAUAGAGGAUGAGAAUCCCGUAUUUGACCAUUAUUUUCAGCUUUGUGAUACACUUUCAAAGAGUCGGAUUGUUUGGGAAUGCAGUCCAAAAUGGGUGGUAAAUUUCAUCUAAAGCUAAAUAUUGGCGAGAGACCGAUAGCGAACAAGUACCGUGAGGGAAAGAUGAAAAGAACUUUGAAAAGAGAGUUAAACAGUACGUGAAAUUGUCAAAAGGGAAGCGUUUGACACCAGUGUUGUUUUCUCGAAAAUCAAUUAAAAAUGGCUCGAUUUUGUAUUGCUGAGACCUUAAAAGCUCACUGUACAUUUUUCGUGUCCUUUUUAAUGCACUUUUCGUUUAACAAGUCAACAUCAGUUUCUUUUGUCGUAAAAGGGUCAUUGGAAGGUGGCUUUCUUUUCGGAGAAAGUGUUUAUAGCCUUUGGCCUCUGCAAUCGGAAGAGACUGAGGUCUGCAGCGUAGACUCUUCGGGGUUAGAUACAUUUGUGCUAAGUUAUAGCUUUUUAUAGACAACUUGUUGACUAUAAUUAGUCUUGUAGCUUACUCGCUUAUGCUGUUUUACCUACGCUUAGGAUGUUGAAGAUGUAGCACAUCAU
RNAcentral lists this ribosomal RNA (774 nucleotides) under uncultured Neocallimastigales. Its description in RNAcentral is "partial large subunit ribosomal RNA". It matches the Rfam family "Eukaryotic large subunit ribosomal RNA", at positions 23 to 634 of the family's 3401-position model. The record is from RNAcentral. Lineage: Eukaryota; Fungi; Neocallimastigomycota; Neocallimastigomycetes; Neocallimastigales.